This 236-nucleotide long non-coding RNA is filed under the name Phoenix dactylifera (date palm). RNAcentral's name for it is "long non-coding RNA (PDAC_LNC019836)". The record is from RNAcentral. Lineage: Eukaryota; Viridiplantae; Streptophyta; Magnoliopsida; Arecales; Arecaceae.
ACCUAAGCCGGUAGUAUAGGAACGACUUCCUACACUAAUCGAUGUGACCAUCUAGCAAUGGUACCCGACGUCCGAAUAGGCCGAAUAUAUGCGAAGCAAAUAUUUUGGAACCCUGAACUAUGGUUACUGUAUAAUUCAAUCCCUUUGACUCUUAAUGCCAGGAUGACUUAGAGCUCACUGUCAACCCUAUAAUUAGUACAUCCAUUAUGUGAUUAACUUUAGAUAUCCCGUGACUC